GACGAACGCUGGCGGCGUGCUUAACACAUGCAAGUCGAACGAAGAGCGAUGGAAGCUUGCUUCUAUCAAUCUUAGUGGCGAACGGGUGAGUAACGCGUAAUCAACCUGCCCUUCAGAGGGGGACAACAGUUGGAAACGACUGCUAAUACCGCAUACGAUCUAAUCUCGGCAUCGAGGAUAGAUGAAAGGUGGCCUCUACAUGUAAGCUAUCACUGAAGGAGGGGAUUGCGUCUGAUUAGCUAGUUGGAGGGGUAACGGCCCACCAAGGCGAUGAUCAGUAGCCGGUCUGAGAGGAUGAACGGCCACAUUGGGACUGAGACACGGCCCAGACUCCUACGGGAGGCAGCAGUGGGGAAUCUUCCGCAAUGGUCGAAAGUCUGACGGAGCGACGCCGCGUGAGUGAUGACGGCCUUCGGGUUGUAAAGCUCUGUUAAUCGGGACGAAAGGCCUUCUUGCGAAUAGUGAGAAGGAUUGACGGUACCGGAAUAGAAAGCCACGGCUAACUACGUG
RNAcentral lists this ribosomal RNA (510 nucleotides) under uncultured bacterium. Its description in RNAcentral is "partial 16S ribosomal RNA". It matches the Rfam family "Bacterial small subunit ribosomal RNA", at positions 28 to 507 of the family's 1533-position model. The record is from RNAcentral.